GACGAACGCUGGCGGCGUGCCUAAUACAUGCAAGUCGAGCGGAACUGGGGGAGCUUGCUCCUUCCAGUUUAGCGGCGGACGGGUGAGUGACACGUGGGCAACCUGCCUUGCAGAUCGGGAUAACUCCGGGAAACCGGUGCUAAUACCGAAUAGUUUGGCGCCUCUCCUGAGGCGCUACGGAAAGACGGUUUCGGCUGUCACUGCAGGAUGGGCCCGCGGCGCAUUAGCUAGUUGGUGGGGUAACGGCCCACCAAGGCGACGGUGCGUAGCCGACCGGAGAGGGGGACCGGCCACACUGGGACUGAGACACGGCCCAGACUCCUACGGGAGGCAGCAGUAGGGAAUCUUCCGCAAUGGACGCAAGUCUGACGGAGCAACGCCGCGUGAGUGACGAAGGUUUUCGGAUCGUAAAACUCUGUUGUGAGGGAAGAACACGUACCAACUAACUAUUGGUACCUUGACAGUACCUCGCCAGAAAGCCACGGCUAACUACGUGCCAGCCGCCGCAGUAA
This 512-nucleotide ribosomal RNA is filed under the name uncultured bacterium. RNAcentral's name for it is "partial 16S ribosomal RNA". It matches the Rfam family "Bacterial small subunit ribosomal RNA", at positions 28 to 523 of the family's 1533-position model. The record is from RNAcentral.